AUCGCCAGCUGACCGAGCCGGAAAGCGAUACAUCUGUUAAAUCGGCUAAGGAGCUGCGAUGCCCUCGAUAAAAUGGGAACCAGGUGUCAGCUUCCACAGGUUUCCCAAAGAUCUUCGUCGAAAGAGGCUCUAAAUCGAGCCAACGCGACUGGGAACCAACGAAAUGGUCUUUUGCAUGUGUGCUCAAAACACUUCCCACCUAAGCACUUCAAUCGGGCGGCGCCAGUGGCAGUUCGCCUUCGUGAGGAUUGGAAAGAUAGGUAAAUUUACUGCAUGCUGAUUCGUCAGUAUAUUGCACAGGCGAGUGUACAGGAAAUGGAACAAAGUUUUAGUGAGUGCAAGCGUUGCUAUUAAGUUUUUCAAAUAAACUUCCAGUUACGCGCUUCAA
Rhipicephalus microplus (southern cattle tick) is the source of this 388-nucleotide long non-coding RNA. The record is from RefSeq and is a predicted model, not a curated record. Lineage: Eukaryota; Metazoa; Arthropoda; Arachnida; Ixodida; Ixodidae.